UGGAAAAAUGAUGACUACGGGUGUUGUAUGAGUCAUGGUUUAUGACUAAGAGUUUUUGAGUCAGAAUUCAGA
Small nucleolar RNA from Rattus rattus (black rat), 72 nucleotides. RefSeq annotates it as small nucleolar RNA SNORD113/SNORD114 family. Lineage: Eukaryota; Metazoa; Chordata; Mammalia; Rodentia; Muridae. The record is from RefSeq and is a predicted model, not a curated record. The transcript has a single exon.